This 722-nucleotide ribosomal RNA is filed under the name uncultured fungus. RNAcentral describes it as "eukaryotic LSU rRNA". The stretch from base 274 to 427 matches the Rfam family "5.8S ribosomal RNA". Lineage: Eukaryota; Fungi. The record is from RNAcentral.
AAGUCGUAACAAGGUUUCCGUAGGUGAACCUGCGGAAGGAUCAUUAUAGAAAAUGACGUGAACUCUUAACGGAGUUCUCUCAAAGUGUUGGAGGGGAAGGCCUGCGCUUAAUUGCGCGGCUGUUUUUUAAUCUCCUCCGCCCUUGAUACACACAUUGGAGUUUCUACUUUUUUGUUCUCUUUGGGAGGGUUCUGCUCUCCCAGAGGUAAACACAAACAAUCUUUUAUUAUACUAUUAACACAGUCAAAUGAAUUUUAAAAACAAAAUAUUCAAAACUUUCAACAACGGAUCUCUUGGUUCUCGCAUCGAUGAAGAACGCAGCGAACUGCGAUACGUAAUGUGAAUUGCAGAAUUCCGUGAAUCAUCGAAUCUUUGAACGCACAUUGCGCCCCUUGGUAUUCCGGGGGGCAUGCCUGUUUGAGCGUCAUUUCCCUCUCAAACUUUACGUUUGGUAGUGAGCGAUACUCUACUCUGGAGUUUGCUUGAAAAUGGGAGGCCAUAGGCGAAGCAUUGCUUUCCAAUCCUGCGGCCCUCUGCUUACUUCCCCUUGUGGGUUGUGGCAGGGGAAAGCGGGAGGCGCCUUGCCACGAUAGUCGUAUUAGGUUCUACCGACUCGGCGAAAGUGAAGAGGUUUGCUUUUUAAAAAGAAGCAGGCAGCGUCUGGCUUGACAAAAUUCUCAAAGUUUGACCUCAAAUCAGGUAGGAUUACCCGCUGAACUUAA